RNAcentral lists this transfer RNA (74 nucleotides) under Mycobacterium phage Myrna. It matches the Rfam family "tRNA". From Rfam's summary of the family: Transfer RNA (tRNA) molecules are approximately 80 nucleotides in length. Their secondary structure includes four short double-helical elements and three loops (D, anti-codon, and T loops). Further hydrogen bonds mediate the characteristic L-shaped molecular structure. tRNAs have two regions of fundamental functional importance: the anti-codon, which is responsible for specific mRNA codon recognition, and the 3' end, to which the tRNAs corresponding amino acid is attached (by aminoacyl-tRNA synthetases). tRNAs cope with the degeneracy of the genetic code in two manners: having more than one tRNA (with a specific anti-codon) for a particular amino acid; and 'wobble' base-pairing, i.e. permitting non-standard base-pairing at the 3rd anti-codon position. Lineage: Duplodnaviria; Heunggongvirae; Uroviricota; Caudoviricetes. The record is from Rfam by way of RNAcentral.
UGGUCACUAGCUCAAUUAGGCAGAGCAACGCCCUGUUAAGGCGUCAGGUGAAGGUUCGAGUCCUUCGUGGCCAG